AAUAAACUAAUUUUUCAGAUUUUACCUUCAAUUUUUGACUCUUCGUCUUAUUCAAAAAAUAUUUGCGAUUGAUAUUUUUGUUUUUAUUAGAUGAUAAAUCAUAAAUAGUAUUUUAUGUGUGACUAAUUUUUUUAAUUUCCUGAAAAUUUUUUAAAUAAGACGGAUGAUCAAACGUUAAACACGAAAAACGGAGGAUUCAUUUUCU
RNAcentral lists this microRNA precursor (205 nucleotides) under Oryza brachyantha (malo sina). RNAcentral describes it as "MIR812 microRNA precursor family". It matches the Rfam family "MIR812 microRNA precursor family". Lineage: Eukaryota; Viridiplantae; Streptophyta; Magnoliopsida; Poales; Poaceae. The record is from Rfam by way of RNAcentral.